This 592-nucleotide ribosomal RNA is filed under the name Nitrospirota bacterium. RNAcentral's name for it is "bacterial SSU rRNA". It matches the Rfam family "Bacterial small subunit ribosomal RNA", at positions 1 to 591 of the family's 1533-position model. Lineage: Bacteria; Pseudomonadati; Nitrospirota. The record is from RNAcentral.
AUGAGAGUUUGAUCCUGGCUCAGAACGAACGCUGGCGGCGCGCUUAACACAUGCAAGUCGAACGAGAAGGCGUAGCAAUACGCUUGUAGAGUGGCGAACGGGUGAGGAAUACAUGGGUAACCUACCCUCGAGAGGGGAAUAACCAGCCGAAAGGUUGGCUAAUGCCGCGUACGCUUCCCAGUCUGCGGAUUGGGAAGGAAAGCUCUGCCGUGGGCAGGGCGCUCAAGGAUGGGCUCAUGUCCUAUCAGCUUGUUGGUGAGGUAACGGCUCACCAAGGCUUCGACGGGUAGCUGGUCUGAGAGGACGAUCAGCCACACUGGCACUGCGACACGGGCCAGACUCCUACGGGAGGCAGCAGUGAGGAAUAUUGCGCAAUGGGCGAAAGCCUGACGCAGCGACGCCGCGUGGGGGAUGAAGGUCUUCGGAUUGUAAACCCCUUUCGGGAGGGAAGAUGGGACGAGCAAUCGUUCGGACGGUACCUCCAGAAGCAGCCACGGCUAACUUCGUGCCAGCAGCCGCGGUAAUACGAAGGUGGCAAGCGUUGUUCGGAUUUACUGGGCGUAAAGGGAGCGUAGGCGGUUUGGUAAGCCCU